This 460-nucleotide ribosomal RNA is filed under the name uncultured bacterium. Its description in RNAcentral is "partial 16S ribosomal RNA". It matches the Rfam family "Bacterial small subunit ribosomal RNA", at positions 338 to 795 of the family's 1533-position model. The record is from RNAcentral.
CCUACGGGUGGCAGCAGUGAGGAAUAUUGGUCAAUGGACGAGAGUCUGAACCAGCCAAGUAGCGUGAAGGAUGACUGCCCUAUGGGUUGUAAACUUCUUUUAUAUGGGAAUAAAAUGUUCCACGUGUGGGAUUUUGUAUGUACCAUAUGAAUAAGGAUCGGCUAACUACGUGCCAGCAGCCGCGGUAAUACGGAGGAUCCGAGAGUUAUCCGGAUUUAUUGGGUUUAAGGGUAGCGUAGGUGGAUUGUUAAGUCAGUUGUGAAAGUUUGCGGCUCAACCGUAAAAUUGCAGUUGAAACUGGCAGUCUUGAGUACAGUAGAGGUGGGCGGAAUUCGUGGUGUAGCGGUGAAAUGCUUAGAUAUCACGAAGAACUCCGAUUGCGAAGGCAGUUCACUGGACUGCAACUGACACUGAGGCUCGAAAGUGUGGGUAUCAAACAGGAUUAGAUACCCUGGUAGUC